GACGAACGCUGGCGGCGUGCCUAAUACAUGCAAGUCGAACGCUGAAGGAGGAGCUUGCUCUUCUGGAUGAGUUGCGAACGGGUGAGUAACGCGUAGGUAACCUGCCUGGUAGCGGGGGAUAACUAUUGGAAACGAUAGCUAAUACCGCAUAAGAGUAGAUGUUGCAUGACAUUUGCUUAAAAGGUGCAAUUGCAUCACUACCAGAUGGACCUGCGUUGUAUUAGCUAGUUGGUGGGGUAACGGCUCACCAAGGCGAGGAUACAUAGCCGACCUGAGAGGGUGAUCGGCCACACUGGGACUGAGACACGGCCCAGACUCCUACGGGAGGCAGCAGUAGGGAAUCGUCGGCAAUGGACGGAAGUCUGACCGAGCAACGCCGCGUGAGUGAAGAAGGUUGUCGGAUCGUAAAGCUCGGUUGUAAGAGAAGAACGAGUGUGAGAGUGGAAAGUUCACACUGUGACGGUAGCUGACCAGAAAGGGACGGCUAACUACGUG
Molecule: ribosomal RNA, 495 nt
Filed under: uncultured bacterium
Lineage: Bacteria
Description: partial 16S ribosomal RNA
Rfam family: Bacterial small subunit ribosomal RNA
Source: RNAcentral